AGCUAGUGUCAUAUUUCCAUGUUUUAUACUCACUCAAUAUAUUGAAGAGGUGGAUCCACAGCACAACGGUAAUAAUACAUCAAGUAUGAUAAGUGUACAAGUUUCUUCCAGCGCAGACAUGAUAAAAUAUGGCAGGCUUCGGAGUGGAAGGGAUGUGAGGAAAAGAGCGACCCGCAGCUGAAGCGCCUUUCUCCAUGUGUAUUGCUGAGAGCAAGGAUUUGUAAAGCUUUCUCAUCUGCUGGAGUAGACUCCGCCAUGAAGUUUUAACUAUGAUCUGGGCGCAGAGGAUGAAUGAAGAGGACGCCAGGCUGCCAUCCACUCAUACUGCGCCUAAUGCAAGCUGGCAAUUCAAUUAUUUGCAGAGGAAUAUUUUAAGUAAGGUCUUCCAUCCGUGCCACACAGUGUAUUAACCCAGCAGCCCUCACAAGCCUGCCCCAGCACCCACACACCUAUCCAAUUACCGUAGUGUCCAAAUCUAUGAAACCCUGAGCACAGCCACCUAUUUGUCAGAGCUGUGUGCACCAAGUGCAGUGCCAUGUCCAGGUGCGGUUUUUCUACCAUGCGUUUGAUUUCUUUUCUCAUAGUUGAAAUCAGUGCCGUGGAUUUUCCGUGUUGCAUAUACCUAACAGUAUUCUGGUAAUUAUUAUUUUUGCUGAUAUUUUCCUCUGAUGCAUUGCGGGCUGUCAGAGGAAGAGACAAUAGGUGACGAUCAGAUUCCUUUGGUUUUACAACUG
Molecule: long non-coding RNA, 734 nt
Organism: Bufo bufo (common toad)
Lineage: Eukaryota; Metazoa; Chordata; Amphibia; Anura; Bufonidae
Exons: 3
Source: RefSeq, a predicted model, not a curated record